RNAcentral lists this ribosomal RNA (75 nucleotides) under Listeria booriae. The record is from RNAcentral. Lineage: Bacteria; Bacillati; Bacillota; Bacilli; Caryophanales; Listeriaceae.
GAACACGGAAGUUAAGCUUUUCAGCGCCGAUGGUAGUAGGGGGCUUCCCCCUGUGAGAGUAGGUCGUCGCCGGGC